GAAGUUUUUAACUUCCCUCAAAGGCUUCCAAUAUUCUAAGCCAUUUUCAAAAUCAGAUGGGGGAACGUUGGAAGUCUUCGAGGGAAAUUGAAGACUG
MicroRNA precursor from Corchorus capsularis, 97 nucleotides. It matches the Rfam family "MIR477 microRNA precursor family". NCBI's taxonomy places the organism in Eukaryota, Viridiplantae, Streptophyta, Magnoliopsida, Malvales, Malvaceae. The record is from Rfam.